CUGUGAGACAGGUGCUGCAUGGCUGUCGUCAGCUCGUGUUGUGAAAUGUUGGGUUAAGUCCCGCAACGAGCGCAACCCUUAUCCUUUGUUGCCAGCGGUUCGGCCGGGAACUCAAAGGAGACUGCCAGUGAUAAACUGGAGGAAGGUGGGGAUGACGUCAAGUCAUCAUGGCCCUUACGACCAGGGCUACACACGUGCUACAAUGGCAUAUACAAAGAGAAGCGACCUCGCGAGAGCAAGCGGACCUCAUAAAGUAUGUCGUAGUCCGG
Molecule: ribosomal RNA, 269 nt
Filed under: Klebsiella pneumoniae
Lineage: Bacteria; Pseudomonadati; Pseudomonadota; Gammaproteobacteria; Enterobacterales; Enterobacteriaceae
Also listed under: 1 other name
Description: partial 16S ribosomal RNA
Rfam family: Bacterial small subunit ribosomal RNA
Source: RNAcentral